CAGCAGCCACGGUAAUACGUAGGUGGCAAGCGUUGUCCGGAAUUAUUGGGCGUAAAGGGCUCGCAGGCGGUUUCUUAAGUCUGAUGUGAAAGCCCCCGGCUCAACCGGGGAGGGUCAUUGGAAACUGGGAAACUUGAGUGCAGAAGAGGAGGGUGGAAUUCCACGUGUAGCGGUGAAAUGCGUUGAGAUCGGAAAGAACACCAACGGCGAAAGCACUCUGCUGGGCCGACACUGACACUGAGAGACGAAAGCUAGGGGAGCAAAUGGGAUUAGAUACCCCAGUAGUCCCUGUCUCUUAUAC
RNAcentral lists this ribosomal RNA (301 nucleotides) under uncultured bacterium. RNAcentral's name for it is "partial 16S ribosomal RNA". It matches the Rfam family "Bacterial small subunit ribosomal RNA", at positions 509 to 807 of the family's 1533-position model. The record is from RNAcentral.